AAUAAUGUGAUGUCGUUGUUAAACCGGUGCUCGGUAUUCUCCGUGUGAGAAGGAAGGAUGUAGAACGAGCUAACGCCUUAGCUUAGCUUAGCAGGAGGCUAGGUAGCUAGAACUUGGUGCUCUUGUAAACCUUUUUUUUUGUUGCUGAAUUUAAUCAUAAACACAUUGUUUGUAUGGAUAUGAAUGAAGAUCAGCACCAUUAAUAUACGUGAGAAAGAGACAAAUUUUGAAAAAAAUAUAUAUAUCCGGUUUUCGAUUUAACUGGUUCCGGUACCUGUCAGCUGCAGAUCCUCUUCCUGUGGCUCAGCGUUAAGAAGGAAAUCAUUUAGUGUGUGUUGACAGAGUAUACAGUCGGAAUUAGUUCGUUACGUUUUGAAAAGUAUUUUCUGUGAUGGUGUGUUCUGUUGCGCGCGGCUGUCAUGUGGCGGAGACAUCGAGAAAACAAUCCCGAUGAGUUUUCGUGUAUUUCCUGAGAGGAGCCGAAGGGAACCAGCUGAUUCAUGUAUGACAUCAUCGAUCUAUGUGUGACAUCAUCGGUCUUCAUGUGACGGACACGGUGAUUGUCGAGGGAUGUCAGUUUUAAGACUUUUGCUGUGGUGAGAUCGAAUCCUGCUCAAUGUGAUCUUUCUUUGACGGAGCCCGUCCCGAUCUCGCAGCUCAGCCUCCCCCCGUCUGCGCCAGUCAUGCCGCUGGUGGUGGACGCCGUUUGGGCGCUGUGGAGCAUCGGAGCCGGCGUCUACGACUACUUCCACACCAGCGCCAUGGAGGAGAGGAUCGACACGCUGGAGAACGCUCUCACCAUCCACCAGUUUGUGAUCACAGGCCUGUCUGCGGGCCUCAUCCUGCUCCUGAUGUACAUACUGUGGAGAACACACUAAGAACCUCCGGGAGGAGCUACUGCCGCCAGGCGCCGAGCAACCCCUCUGUACGUGUUGCUUUUGACGCAGGGUGUCUUUCGUCACCCAGGCUAGAUUCCAUCCAGAUGUUGGCCACAGGGACGGUCUGAUCCACACAUCUGCUCACGCUUGUUGUCUCAAAAGAGAUGAGGAGCACGGAUGGACGAAAACAAACCCUCUACAAGGUCACGCAGGUCAUUAACCCACGAGAUGCUACUUUUUUCUUUUUUUUUAACCCUGUCAGCACAAACCUCCAUCAUGAUAUGUUUGUGAAUAUAACCUCAGUUUGUCGUGUUAAUGGAUUUCUCUAAGAUGACGCAACUGUCUCGUUAUCUCGACUCGAUAGUCUCUGUCCUGAGACGACAAGAUGGUGGUCGUUUCGUAACAGGUUCUCCUCUUUUAUCUCUGCUCUGUUCUCCUCAAUCUCACAGAGCUGAGAGGAUCAAUCCCAAACUGAAAUCCACUUUUGUAUCGACUAUAAAGUAGAUAAAGUCUGCUGUCUGGAUCUACUGAGCAGAGUCUAUGUUUGGAGGUGGUGGGCAAAUCAAGGCUCCUGGGCCAAACCUGUUUCUCCCGAAAACAAAAGCUAAAGUUUUCAAUCUUCACUUUAAAUUAACAAUUCCUCAUUAAAAUUUUGGACGAAAUCAUGAAACAAAAUACAACAAACGAUCAGUAGGAACUCAUAACAUUUAAUAAUAUCAAAAUCUAAAAAAAACUAAAAAAACAACGUCAAUAAUAUAAAUUGACAUUUCCACUCUUUUAGUAAAAACACAUAUCAUGAUGAUCCGACGCCAGAAUUUCUUAAAUAAGGUAAAGUUGUGUCUUUAAUCACGUUGUCAGGGAAACAGCCGGCUCGGGGCAGAACAGUUUUUAGUUUAAAAGGCAAAGCGGUGAUUUAAUAUAUAAUAUAUGAUAAUUAAUGUGCUGCUGGCGGACGACUAAAAAUAAGACAAAAACAAAACACUAAUGAAGUUCACUACACUGGGAAAUUAAUUAUUAUUUUUUUGUGUGUGUCAUGCUGAGGACAAAGGAUUUUGUCGUAUGUGUUUCGGAACAGCACAUCCUGUGUGUGUGCGUUUAAGUAGUCCGCGUUUACAUUUUUAUAUCGUCGCUCAGAUUCCCCUGUGUGUUAAAAUGAUUUAAUCACUUUUUCCUCUGUUGUUUUUCCUGCUCACUGUCCGUUUAUCGUGUCCACGACUGCACCGAACGACUAAAGGGAAUAUUGUAUCAGUAAUAAGCCAGAGCUUUUGCCUUGUCUGUGUUUUAAGUACCCUUUUUUUGUUCCCUGUCAUGUUUCAUGAGUUGUUUUUAAAUAGAAUAAAUAAAAUAAUGUUAAAUUUA
Molecule: long non-coding RNA, 2237 nt
Organism: Scophthalmus maximus (turbot)
Lineage: Eukaryota; Metazoa; Chordata; Actinopteri; Pleuronectiformes; Scophthalmidae
Exons: 2
Source: RefSeq, a predicted model, not a curated record